GGCUGGUUAGCUCAGUCAGUAGAGCAUAGCGCUAACAGUGUUAAGGUCACGGGUUCGAUUCCCAUUCGCUA
This 71-nucleotide transfer RNA is filed under the name Apaloderma vittatum (bar-tailed trogon). It matches the Rfam family "tRNA". From Rfam's summary of the family: Transfer RNA (tRNA) molecules are approximately 80 nucleotides in length. Lineage: Eukaryota; Metazoa; Chordata; Aves; Trogoniformes; Trogonidae. The record is from Rfam by way of RNAcentral.